AUUGAACGCUGGCGCAUGCCUUACAAAAGGAAAGUGGAAGGUAAAAGGCCUUCGGGUGCCGGCGGAUGGCGAAAGGGGGGGUAAUGCAUCGGAAAGUUACCCGAGGUGGGGGAAAAAGGAGCCAAAGCCGGGCUAAUAACCCCAGUGAACCGGGGAUGGAAGGGGGGGGACGAGCAGGAAUGUUUGGCCUCGCCCCUUUUGAACGGCCGAUGUCGGAUUAGCUAGUUGGUGGGGUAAAGGCCUACCAAGGCGACGAUCCGUAGCUGGUCUGAGAGGACGACCAGCCACACUGGGACUGAGACACGGCCCAGACUCCUACGGGAGGCAGCAGUGGGGAAUUUUGGACAAUGGGCGCAAGCCUGAUCCAGCAAUGCCGCGUGCGGGAAGAAGGCCUUCGGGUUGUAAACCGCUUUUGGCAGGAACGAAACGGUGUCCGCUAAUACCGGGCGCUAAUGACGGUACCUGCAGAAUAAGCACCGGCUAACUACGUG
Molecule: ribosomal RNA, 491 nt
Filed under: uncultured bacterium
Lineage: Bacteria
Description: partial 16S ribosomal RNA
Rfam family: Bacterial small subunit ribosomal RNA
Source: RNAcentral